RNAcentral lists this long non-coding RNA (2875 nucleotides) under Triticum aestivum (bread wheat). RNAcentral describes it as "long non-coding RNA (TAES_LNC000017)". The record is from RNAcentral. Lineage: Eukaryota; Viridiplantae; Streptophyta; Magnoliopsida; Poales; Poaceae.
CCCCGAGUUAUGCCGUCGAGUAAGCAGAUAGAAAAUUAACCAGGACCAUUUGACCUAAAGUUAGGGAGAUUGUGCCUUGAGCGCAUACAACCAACAAAUAACUUGAGUACGUAUAGCCAAAGCAAUAAGAUAGUUUGGACACAGUCUGAAGAUUGUGCUUGACAAGCAAAACAUGUGUACAUCAUAGGGCCUGCUCUUUAAGCUGGGUCAACUAAUAUGUGCCUUAUUUCUUACUGGCCCUGCUAGAUGCAUCCCCGACGGUCCAUUUCGCCUAUUUCACAUGAACAUAAGCCAUUAAGGACGACCUUGUCUUUGCUCGCGUCGCCGUGCAGCGAACGGCACGUGGUUGAACACACUAUAAUUUAUGUUGCAGUUGUAGCAGCUGCUACUAGAGCCAUGAAUUCAAGAGAGGUUGGUGAGGAUGUUUGGGUUCUCAUUGUCCUUGUCCACACUGCCGAUGUGGGGGUGGCACAAUAGAUUGGUUACUUUCCCAUGUUAUUUCCCUUUCCUGGAUGUUUACUUUUCGUUACCACCUGGCUCAUCUACCUUUCCUGAUCAAAAGGCUCUUAUCUCACUCAAUUUGUUUGUUGUAAUAACAAAUCUACCAUCUUCAUUUAUACUUUUGUUGUUUCUUAGUUUGAGUUGUGUUGUUUAACUAUGGAUUAUUUUGGGUGCAGCAAAAACUUUUGGGCAGACACCUUGGUGGUUUUUUCGUACUAUUAAGGAGGCACCAUUGCAACCUGAACAAGGUUUGUGAGCACCUAGCUUAAUCCUUCUGUAUGGAUCCUACAAGCAGAAGUCAUCCACAUCACGUUUUAAUAUUCUGGAGUAUUAUUUCAUCCCUAGCUCCACUUGCUGCUCAAAACCUGUGCAUACCAUAGUUUGACAACCAGCAGACCCCUAGAAUCUGUUGCAUGGAGUGAGCUACCUUUUUUUUGCGGGAUCAUGGAGUGAGCUACCAAAUAGACAUGUAACAAAAACAAUAUUUUCUUUCAUCUUGAUAUAAAUAUAAUUGUGCUAUUGGGUCUUUAGUGGAAUAGAUGUGCAAAGCAACAAUUAUAUACCUUGUCAACGGAAGUACCUUGUUCAAUAUAGAAUACUCUAAAUUUUGAACCGUAUAUGAUCAAUCACGCUUUUCGCUGCAUUUUCCGUUACGAGAUCAACUAUUUAAGUGAUGACUCAUUGAACUCAAAUAUGUGGUCGUGCGAGUGCCGAUGGUGGUGAACAUUAGUCAGAUUGGGGCAGAAAAUGCCGAGCACAAGCAUGCGGCUUGCCCUUGAUUGAGUUGUCAACACUUAUGAUUGGAGUGGUGUCUUCUGGUUGAAUAAUGCCAACAUCGCAUAGUGGGUUGUCUCAAUUUCAUGUGACCUGGAGUUGUGAAGUCUCUGAUUAUAUGUUGAUCUGAUGAGGUAAUAAUUAUAAAAUAUUUUCUUCUCUUUGCUGCGAUAUAGUUAUUCUUACUGUAUAAAAUAUGUUGAAAAGAGAAGAGUGCGUCCUAGGGUGUGUUUUUUGGGUUGGGACUGCGCGUUGAAGAUAAUAUGGUGGGUAGACCGGACAACCAUAUUUCUCCCCCACAUAUUGGAGCAUGUUGGGCGCUGGUUUGAUGUUCGAACACGGCUGAACGUACGAGGAAGAAAUGGGUUUCGACCUUGAAGAGUGGAGACGGCCUUAAUCAUUUGGUUGAUUCAUUAGUAUACAUUGUAGCCCGUAGCAACGCACGGGCGUUCUCCUAGUUUACAUUGGGUAUGACUAUGACUGGAUCUCUUAUACCAUGAAUUACAAUGUCUAGUCAGUCCUUGAUCUUUAAAGGUGCUCUGCAUUUAUGUUUUGCAAUCUCAGAAAGGGCUAGCGAGAUACCAUCCUAUUAUAUCAUAUCAUGAUUGUUUUGAGAAAGUGUUGUCAUCCGAGAUUUAUUAUUAUUGCUCGCUAGUUGAUUAUGCUAUUGAUAUGAGUAGACAUGAGACCUAAGAGUUAUUGUGAAUGUGGUUAGUCAUAAUCUUUGCUGAAAACUUGAAUGCUGGCUUUACAUAUUUGCAACAACAAGAGCAAACAAAGUUUGUAAAAGUUUUUCUUUAUCACUUUCAGUUUAUCAACUGAAUUGCUUGAGGACAAGCAAAGGUUUAAGCUUGGGGGAGUUGAUACGUCUCCGUCGUAUCUACUUUUCCAAACACUUUUGCCCUUGUUUUGGACUCUAACUUGCAUGAUUUGAAUGAAACUAACCCGGACUGACGCUGUUUUCAGCAGACUUUUCAUGGUGUUAUUUAUGUGCAGAAACAAAAGCUCUCGGAAUGACCUGAAACUCCAUGGAACAUAUUUUUGGAAAAUAAUAAAAAUACUAGAAGAAGAAUCCACAUCAGGGGGCCUCCACCUGUCCACGAGGGUGGGGGCGCGCCUGCCCCCCUGGGCGCGCCCCCUGCCUCGUGGGCCCCCUGACGCUCCACCGACCUCAACUCCAACUCCAUAUAUUCGUGUUCGGGGAGAAAAAAAUCAGAGAGAAGGAUUCAUCGUGUUUUACGAUACGGAGCCGCCGCCAAGCCCUAAAACCUCUUGGGAGGGCUGAUCUGGAGUCCAUUCGGGGCUCCGGAGAGGGCAAUCCGUCGCCAUCGUCAUCAUCAACCAUCCUCCAUCACCAAUUUCACGAUGCUCAUCGCCGUGCAUGAGUAAUUCCAUCGUAGGCUUGCUGGACGGUGAUGGGUUGGAUGAGAUUUAUCAUGUAAUCGAGUUAGUUUUGUUAGGGUUUGAUCCCUAGUAUCCACUAUGUUCUGAUAUUGGUGUUGCUAUGACUUUGCUAUGCUUAAUGCUUGUCACUAGGGCCCGAGUGCCAUGAUUUCAGAUCUGAACCUAUUAUGUUUUCAUGGAUAUAUGUGAGUUCUUG